Molecule: ribosomal RNA, 363 nt
Filed under: Tegolophus sp. YN449a 2
Lineage: Eukaryota; Metazoa; Arthropoda; Arachnida; Trombidiformes; Eriophyidae
Description: partial small subunit ribosomal RNA
Source: RNAcentral
CUUGAGUCAAGAGUGACGGGCGAUUUGUGCAUGCUUGAUUUCAUUUUUCAAUUUAAAAUUCUAUUAAUUCACUUUAAUUCUAAGUCCUUUUUCAAUAUUCUUCUAUUUAUGUCUAUUAUUUUUAUUAAUUUGUAUCCCAUUACCUCCUUUAAUAUAAUUUCUGUCUUGAUUUGUAUUAUUAUUAAAAUUAUUUUAAAAUAAAAUCUUUAGAUUCUAAUUUCAUACAAUGAUAUAGAGAAUAAAAAGUAAAGUAUGAUUUUAUCGUGGGCUGUCUAUUACAUUACAGGAUCCCCUAUGUUGGUCUAGCACCGCCAUUUUGUUUAAAUUUUGUUUAUUUAAUUACUUCUUUUUUCUUUUUUAAGA